This 1896-nucleotide ribosomal RNA is filed under the name Vannella samoroda. Its description in RNAcentral is "SSU rRNA". It matches the Rfam family "Eukaryotic small subunit ribosomal RNA". Lineage: Eukaryota; Discosea; Flabellinia; Vannellidae. The record is from RNAcentral.
CUCAAAGAUUAAGCCAUGCAAGUGAAGUAUAAAUUGAUAUUACAAUGAAACUGCGAACGGCUCAUUAAAUCAGUUAUAGUUUAUUUGAUACUUUUUGAGAAUUUAUUCUCAGCUACAUGGAUAACUGUAGUAACCUAGAGCUAAUACAUGCAAAAACAAUCAAACUUUUGAGGAAUGAUUGGCACUUAUUAGAUAACAAACCAAUACAUUUUAGGAUGUUUUAAAGGUGAAUCAUAAUAACUGAACCAAUUCGCAUAACUUUUUUUUAAUGUUGGCGAAAAAUCAUUCAAAUUUCUGCCCUAUCAACUAGAUGUUAGUAUAUUGGACUAACAUGGUUUUAACGGGUAACGGGGAAUUAGGGUUCGAUUCCGGAGAAGGAGCAUGAGAAACGGCUACUACUUCUAAGGAAAGCAGCAGGCGCGCAAAUUAUUCAAUGGAAACAAAUUUCCGAAAUAGUGACAAAAAAUAACAAUACAUUGCAUAAUUAUGUGAUGUAAUUGGAAUGAGAACAAUUUAAAUACCUUAACGAGUAACAAUUGGAGGGCAAGUCUGGUGCCAGCAGCCGCGGUAAUUCCAGCUCCAAUAGCGUAUAUUAAUGUUGUUGCAGUUAAAAAGCUCGUAGUUGAAAAUUGAAUAUUUAAAAAUAAGUUUGGUCUACUAUAAUUUACUUAGUAUGACUACUUAUUUUAUAUUCUUCCUACUAGAUACUCGAUAUUGUUCUUAGUUGAAUGAUAUAGUAUUCUUUCGGGAAUACCAAUACAGAAAUGUAUUGGAGUUCUAGUUCAUUUACUUUGAGAAAAUUAGAGUGUUUAAAGCAGCCUCUUUGGGCUCUGCAUACAUUAGCAUGGGAUAAUAAAAUAGGAUUUAAUCUAUAUAUUUGUUGGUUCGAAUAGAUUAAAUAAUGAUUAAUAGGAACAGUUGGGGGUAUUUAUAUUGGAUGGUUAGCGGUGAAAUGCAUUGAUCCAUUCAAGAUAAACUAAAGCGAAAGCAUCUAUCAAGGAUGUUUUCAUUAAUCAAGAACGAAAGUUAAGGGAUCGAAGAUGAUUAGAUACCGUCGUAGUCUUAACUAUAAACUAUGCCGACCAGGGAUAUGAGUUGUUAUGAAUAAUCUUUAUGGGUUAUUCAAUUUCCUCUUAUGAACCUUGUGAGAAAUCAUAAGUUUUUGGGUUUUGGGGGGAGUAUGGUCGCAAGGCUGAAACUUAAAGGAAUUGACGGAGGGGCACCACCAGGAGUGGAGCGUGCGGCUUAAUUUGACUCAACACGGGAAAACUUACCAGGUCCAGACAUUAGAAGGAUUGACAGAUUGAUAGCUCUUUCAUGAUUUAAUGGGUGGUGGUGCAUGGCCGUUCUUAGUUGGUGGAGUGAUUUGUCUGGUUAAUUCCGAUAACGAACGAGACCUUUACCAUACUAAAUAGUUUGAUUUAUUCAUUUAUGAAUAGAUUUAUUUAUUAAAUAAAACUUCUUAGAGGGACUAUUGGUUUUCAAACCAAAGGGAGUAAAGGCAAUAACAGGUCUGUGAUGCCCUUAGAUGUUCUGGGCUGCACGCGCGCUACAAUGAUGAACUCAACGAGUUUAUACUAUUUUUAAUAGUAAAUUGCUGUAUUGGAAAAUAUGGCUAAUCUUAAACGUUCAUCGUGCUUGGGAUAGAUGAUUGAAAUUAUUUAUCUUGAACCAGGAAUUCCUAGUAAUCGUAUAUCAUCAGUGUGCGAUGAUUACGUCCCUGCCCCUGUACACACCGCCCGUCGCUGCUACCGAUUGGAUGAUCCGGUGAAAUCUUCGGAUAAUAGCAAAUACCUUACUUUUGUAAGGAUUGUUGUUAGAAGUUGAUUAAACCUUAUCAUCUAGAGGAAGCAAAAGUCGUAACAAGGUUCCGUAGGUGAAUCCUGCAGAAGAUCA